This is a long non-coding RNA of Betta splendens (Siamese fighting fish), 1172 nucleotides long. The record is from Ensembl. NCBI's taxonomy places the organism in Eukaryota, Metazoa, Chordata, Actinopteri, Anabantiformes, Osphronemidae.
GUCGACUCCAGUGCGCCUUGUGUGGAACAGCAGCCAAAAGUUUCAGGGGCUGAGCAUGAAUGACCUAUUACUAAAGGGGCCUGAUGUUCUGAAUCCCAUACGGGCAGUUCUGCUGAGAUUUAGAAGAGGAGUGCAUGCAGCUCUAGGUGACAUAAAAAAGAUGUACAACUCAGUGUGGUUGGAGGACCGGGAGAUGCAUCUCCAUCGGUUUCUCUGGAGAGACAACCAAGAAGAGGACAUUAUGGCGUACGCUAUAACCAGAGUGAAUAUUGGUGAUCGACCAGCAGGGUGUAUUGUACAACUGGCAAUGCGGGAGACUGCAAAGUUACCAACGUUCAUCCACCUAAAGGAGGAACGACGAGUUAUAGAGGAGGACAGUUACGUCGAUGAUAUCCUAACAUCCAGCAAUGAUCUAAAAAGUUUAAACAAGACGACAAAAGGAGUGGAAGAAAUCCUGAAUGCGGGAGGGUUUUUCCUCAAGCAAUGGAUUCGAUCAGGGCAAAGUGGGAGGCAGACACAAGCACAAUUGGGAAAAGAGAAAGUCUUCAUACUACCGAAUCAGAGGAGAGAGGAGGACAACAAGGCUCUUGGUGUCGGCUACCUGGUGGAGGAGGACAAGCUCCAUGUAAUGACAGCCAUUAAUUUUUCAAGGAAGAAAAAGAAAAUGAGACUUGGUCAGAAUCUUCUUGAAGACGAGGUAAAAACGAAAACUCCUAAUCCCUUAACCAGAAGAGAAUUACUAAGCCAAGUGGCAAGCCUGUAUGACCCAAUGGGAUUCGUCACACCAACUAAACAAAAAGGAGCAAUUCUGGUAAGGAAAGCCUUCCAAGAAGGUGGAGAUGGGGGCAGGACCAAAGACACUUGGGACAAACCACUGUCUGACAGCCUCAGAGAGGAAGCGAUCAAGCUGUUUGAGGAGUAUGCACGCCUUGGUCACAUUACCUUUCAUAGAAGCCUCACACCAGUUGGUUGGAUUGGUAAGCCGUGGGGAAUAACAUUCUCGGAUGGAAGUGACAAAACCUACGGUGCUGUGGUGUACUUCCGGUGGGAAACACACCAAGGUGUCCAAGUUAGAUUCGUUGAGUCAAAGGCAAAGCUCACUCCACUUGAUCAAAAAGGAGACCCAGUUAAGGCAGAAAUGUGUGGUGCAGUUUUUGCAGCUCGACUUCGGA